This is a long non-coding RNA of Esox lucius (northern pike), 1539 nucleotides long. The record is from Ensembl. Lineage: Eukaryota; Metazoa; Chordata; Actinopteri; Esociformes; Esocidae.
AAGUAGUCUUCACCCUGUAUGUUUAAUAUUUUAUGUAUUCUCAUAGACAUGUAUUCCCUAGUCAACAUCUUCUGUCUUUUCCUUAUCUGUGUUCAGGGACAGUGAUGAGUAGAAACUGUGUACAACCUUGCAUAUAGUUGAGGAGAGAUCUUCCUAAGAAAAUAGGUAUCCAUGAAUUAAUUGCACUAUGUACACUAAAAGCUUCUGCUUCAAUUAUAUUCUGUUCAUUAUUUAGAAACCUGCCUAACUGAUGUAACCCAGUGUAAGGAAUUUACUUUGUUAGAUUAGGCCCGAAUUUGCUUUAGACUGUUCAUGGAUGCCACGGAUGGGCAAAGACAGCAUGGCCUUGUCAUGGACGUAAUUAUGGCCACAACCGAAGGAGCUGGGCCACAACCUAUCUUAUCUAUGACGCAGCUUCAGAUGGCUCCAAGGUGAAGUUGCCUGUGCCUCUGCUGGUUCUUUCAUUCAGGCAGGACAGAGACAAGGGCUAGCUCAGAUCAGGAGGCCUUUUAACUCUGACCUAGAACUAUGGUUGCCAUGACAGUGUAGAGUUCAUUUCAUGCUGGUUGUAUUUUCAUGCUGGUGUCAUGACUUGUUUUCUUGUCUGUAUCUUUAGUAUUUCCAGAACUGACAAGGAGAUGUAUAAAGAGGUGAAAGCAAUAAUGUGACUUCAGAAGAACUGUCAUGACACUACUACAUGUUAUUGUACAGUGAGUACAUUACUGUGGUGGACUUUUGGUAUAGGAAACAAGUGGCAUGUUGGCAGUGAGUCGUUUAAUCUAUAUUGACUUCUGAUAUUGAAAACACAAUACAUUGUCUUUGAACUAGAAAUGUAAGAUAUUUUUUGUUGGGAGAGUUAAUGUUGUCUUCAUUUACAAUUUGAAAUGAAAAAUGCUAAUUUGUACAAAAUAUUUAAUGUAUCAAAGGGUACAUAUAUGGUGUGAAUUAAUUUCAAACAGGAUUGUUGUGACUAAAUGUAGUUUAUUUCAAAGUGCCAGAACUGUGCCUCUAGUGUCUGAUGUUUUUGUACGGCUAAAUGAGUUUGUAUCACUGUGGUUCACUUUUGAUGGAGGCACUAGACUUGACAUUGGAAGUAAGUACCAAGCAUACAGAGAUCCAAUAACUGUUGCUAAUGUUUAAAUUAUGUUUAAAUAAAAAUAUUCUUGUUAUUAUUGUAACAAUACUUUUUAAAAUACAAGUUUUUGCAUCGGGCUCAGCCCGAACGGGCGACGUCGGGCCGCCCUCCCGUGGGCUCACCACCCACAGGAGGGACCAUAAGGGGCCGGUGCGAAGAGGAUCGGGCGGCAGUCGAAGGCAGGGGCCUAGACAACCCGAUCUCUGGACACGGAAACUAGCUCUAGGGACGUGGAAUGUCACCUCGCUGGCGGGAAGGAGCCUGAGUUAGUGCGUGAGGUUGAGAGGUUCCGAUUAGAGGUAGUCGGGAUCACCUCUACGCACGGCUUGGGCUCUGGAACCACACUCCUUGAGAGAGGAUGGACUCUUCACCACUCUGGCGUUGCCCAUGGUGAGAGGCGGCGG